Molecule: ribosomal RNA, 400 nt
Filed under: uncultured cyanobacterium
Lineage: Bacteria; Bacillati; Cyanobacteriota
Description: bacterial SSU rRNA
Rfam family: Bacterial small subunit ribosomal RNA
Source: RNAcentral
UGGGGAAUUUUCCGCAAUGGGGGCAAGCCUGACGGAGCAACGCCGCGUGGGGGAGGAAUGUCUGUGGAUUGUAAACCCCUUUUCUCAGGGAAGAAGNUCUGACGGUACCUGAGGAAUCAGCAUCGGCUAACUCCGUGCCAGCAGCCGCGGUAAGACGGAGGAUGCAAGCGUUAUCCGGAAUUAUUGGGCGUAAAGCGUCCGNAGGCGGUUUAUCAAGUCUGCCGUUAAAGACCGCAGCUCAACUGUGGGCGAGCGGUGGAAACUGAUUAACUAGAGUGNGGUAGGGGUAGAGGGAAUUCCCAGUGUAGCGGUGAAAUGCGUAGAUAUUGGGAAGAACACCAGUGGCGAAGGCGCUCUACUGGGCCACAACUGACGCUGAGGGACGAAAGCUANGGGAGCG